RNAcentral lists this ribosomal RNA (460 nucleotides) under uncultured bacterium. RNAcentral's name for it is "partial 16S ribosomal RNA". It matches the Rfam family "Bacterial small subunit ribosomal RNA", at positions 338 to 795 of the family's 1533-position model. The record is from RNAcentral.
CCUACGGGAGACAGCAGUGAGGAAUAUUGGUCAAUGGACGAGAGUCUGAACCAGCCAAGUAGCGUGAAGGAUGACUGCCCUAUGGGUUGUAAACUUCUUUUAUAUGGGAAUAAAAUGUUCCACGUGUGGGAUUUUGUAUGUACCAUAUGAAUAAGGAUCGGCUAACUCCGUGCCAGCAGCCGCGGUAAUACGGAGGAUCCGAGCGUUAUCCGGAUUUAUUGGGUUUAAAGGAAGCGUAGGUGGAUUGUUAAGUCAGUUGUGAAAGUUUGCGGCUCAACCGUAAAAUUGCAGUUGAAACUGGCAGUCUUGAGUACAGUAGAGGUGGGCGGAAGUCGUGGUGUAGCGGUGAAAUGCUUAGAUAUCACGAAGAACUCCGAUUGCGAAGGCAGUUCACUGGACUGCAACUGACACUGAGGCUCGAAAGUGUGGGUAUCAAACAGGAUUAGAUACCCCUGUAGUC